ACGAAGGGUGCAAGCGUUACUCGGAAUUACUGGGCGUAAAGCGUGCGUAGGUGGUUCGUUAAGUCUGAUGUGAAAGCCCUGGGCUCAACCUGGGAAUGGCAUUGGAUACUGGCGACCUAGAGUGCGGUAGAGGGUAGCGGAAUUCCCGGUGUAGCAGUGAAAUGCGUAGAUAUCGGGAGGAACAUCCGUGGCGAAGGCGGCUACCUGGACCAGCACUGACACUGAGGCACGAAAGCGUGGGGAGCAAACAGGA
Molecule: ribosomal RNA, 253 nt
Filed under: uncultured prokaryote
Description: partial 16S ribosomal RNA
Rfam family: Bacterial small subunit ribosomal RNA
Source: RNAcentral